CCUACGGGUGGCAGCAGUGGGGAAUAUUGGACAAUGGGGGCAACCCUGAUCCAGCCAUGCCGCGUGUGUGAAGAAGGCCCUCGGGUUGUAAAGCACUUUCAGUGAGGAAGAACGCCUGGUGGUUAAUACCCAUCAGGAAAGACAUCACUCACAGAAGAAGCACCGGCUAACUCCGUGCCAGCAGCCGCGGUAAUACGGAGGGUGCGAGCGUUAAUCGGAAUUACUGGGCGUAAAGCGCGCGUAGGUGGCUUGAUAAGCCGGUUGUGAAAGCCCCGGGCUCAACCUGGGAACGGCAUCCGGAACUGUCAAGCUAGAGUGCAGGAGAGGAAGGUAGAAUUCCCGGUGUAGCGGUGAAAUGCGUAGAGAUCGUGAGGAAUACCAGUGGCGAAGGCGGCCUUCUGGACUGACACUGACACUGAGGUGCGAAAGCGUGGGUAGCAAACAGGAUUAGAUACCCGGGUAGUC
Molecule: ribosomal RNA, 465 nt
Filed under: Vreelandella stevensii
Lineage: Bacteria; Pseudomonadati; Pseudomonadota; Gammaproteobacteria; Oceanospirillales; Halomonadaceae
Description: partial 16S ribosomal RNA
Rfam family: Bacterial small subunit ribosomal RNA
Source: RNAcentral